UACGUAGGGGGCAAGCGUUGUCCGGAUUUAUUGGGCGUAAAGCGCGUGUAGGCGGCCAGGUAGGUCCGUUGUGAAAACUCGAGGCUCAACCUCGAGACGCCGGUGGAAACCAUCUAGCUAGAGUCCGGAAGAGGAGAGUGGAAUUCCUGGUGUAGCGGUGAAAUGCGCAGAUAUCAGGAAGAACACCCGUGGCGAAGGCGGCUCUCUGGGACGUGACUGACGCUGAGACGCGAAAGCGUGGGGAGCGAACAGG
RNAcentral lists this ribosomal RNA (253 nucleotides) under uncultured bacterium. Its description in RNAcentral is "partial 16S ribosomal RNA". It matches the Rfam family "Bacterial small subunit ribosomal RNA", at positions 524 to 776 of the family's 1533-position model. The record is from RNAcentral.